Molecule: non-coding RNA, 32 nt
Filed under: Homo sapiens (human)
Lineage: Eukaryota; Metazoa; Chordata; Mammalia; Primates; Hominidae
Source: RNAcentral
UGGCAGAGAAGGCCUUGUCUGAAGGCUACGCC